This 491-nucleotide ribosomal RNA is filed under the name Pagurus bernhardus (common hermit crab). RNAcentral's name for it is "partial 16S ribosomal RNA". It matches the Rfam family "Bacterial large subunit ribosomal RNA", at positions 1912 to 2608 of the family's 2925-position model. Lineage: Eukaryota; Metazoa; Arthropoda; Malacostraca; Decapoda; Paguridae. The record is from RNAcentral.
CUGAUUAUAUUAAAGAGCCGCAGUAUUCUGACUGUGCGAAGGUAGCAUAAUAAAUUGUCUUUUAAAUGGAGGCUUGAAUGAAAGGUUGGACAAAGUAUCAUCUGUUUCUUAAAUAUUUAUUGAAUUUGACUUUCAAGUGAAAAGGCUUGAAUAAAUUAAAAAGACGAUAAGACCCUAUAAAUCUUUACAAUAAACAUGUUCUAUAUUUUAAUUUAUAAGUAUAUAAAAUAUUAAGUUUGUAUUUGUUUCGCUGGGGCGGCGUGGAUAUAUUAAUAAACUGUCUAUGUGUUAAAUCCAAUAAUUAUUGAUUAGUGAGAUUGAUCCUUAAAUAGAUUAAAAGAUUAAGAUACUUUAGGGAUAACAGCGUUAUUUUUUUUGAGAGUUCUUAUCGAAGAAAAAGUUUGCGACCUCGAUGUUGAAUUAAAGUAUCUUUAUGGUGCAGCCGCUAUAAGAGAGAGUCUGUUCGACUUUUAAUACUUUACAUGAUCUGA